AUAAUUUUUUUCUGUUAUAGACAACCCUGCCGGAUUUAUUAUCUUAUUUUCCAGCCGGUAGUUCUGUACAAACAUUAGAGCAUUUUUACCAAAAUAUACGUAUAAAGGACUUUCGAAACUAUGAUUAUGGAAUAGCUGAAAACUAUAAGCGAUACAAACAGAAAAUACCCCCAAGUUAUGAUUUCAAAAAGAUUACUGCUCCAAUAAUUUUAUUUUACUCAGCAAAUGAUAUGGUUGUGACAAAAGAGAAUGUGUUGGAACUUGGCAAACGCUUACCAAAUGUUCUUUUAACGGAGGAAGUUCCAUUUAAGCAUUUCAGUCACGUAGAUUUCCUGUGGGCAAUCAACGCGAAAACUCUUUUAUACGAUCGUUUGUUAGAACUAUUACAAAAGUUUGAUGCUGACCAAAAUAAGUCUAUGAAAUAAAUCUAAUCGAUGAAUGUAAAUUAAAAGCAGGAGAGAAACCUUAAUCUCUCUAUAUAAUAUGAAAUGUAAACGUAGAAUUGCUAAAAUAUUAGAAAAGUAUAUAUGAGGUGUGAUCAAAAG
Long non-coding RNA from Temnothorax curvispinosus, 545 nucleotides. RefSeq lists it as uncharacterized. Lineage: Eukaryota; Metazoa; Arthropoda; Insecta; Hymenoptera; Formicidae. The transcript is spliced from 3 exons. The record is from RefSeq and is a predicted model, not a curated record.